Molecule: ribosomal RNA, 511 nt
Filed under: uncultured bacterium
Lineage: Bacteria
Description: partial 16S ribosomal RNA
Rfam family: Bacterial small subunit ribosomal RNA
Source: RNAcentral
GACGAACGCUGGCGGCGUGCCUAAUACAUGCAAGUAGAACGCUGAAGGGAGAGCUUGCUCUUCUGGAUGAGUCGCGAACGGGUGAGUAACGCGUAGGUAACCUGCCUGGUAGCGGGGGAUGACUAUUGGAAACGAUAGCUAAUACCGCAUAACAGCAAAUGUUGCAUGACAUUUGCUUAAAAGGUGCAAUUGCAUCACUACCAGAUGGACCUGCGUUGUAUAAGCUAGUGGUGGGGGUAACGGCUCACCAAGGCGACGAUACAUAGCCGACCUAGGAAGGUGAUCGGCCAGACUGGGACUGAAGCACGGCCCAGACUCCUACGGGAGGCAGCAGUAGGGAAUCUUCGGCAAUGGACGGAAGUCUGACCGAGCAACGCCGCGUGAGUGAAGAAGGUUUUGGGAUCGUAAAGCUCUGUUGUAAGAGAAGAACGAGUGUGAGAGUGGAAAGUUCACACUGUGACGGUAUCUUACCAGAAAGGGACGGCUAACUACGUGCCAGCCGCCGCGGUAA